CCGAGCGCCUCUUCCUGGACAAGUACGGGAGGAUCUAGUGUGUGCCUUGACAAGAUCGUUUGGCAGGUGAGCUUCCAGCUAUUUUUCUUGCCGUGUAGCAGUUAAACAUGCCUUUGCCAAUCCCCGGGGAGCACCGGCUUAUUUUGGUACUCCCAGACUCCCAGUGAUGGGAUGCAAACUGGUUAACCUACCGCUGUCGGAGCGGUAACACCAGCAUCUGUCCAGGUGGCUGGCCGAUGUGAAUUCUUUCAUCCUUCUUACUUUUCUGGUGUAUGUUGUCGUUGAUGAUGAAUAUUCUGAGCCGCUGUUCAUGUGACUCCCUUAUUGUUGAUGGUGCGUGCAGGGGUUGCUGGAGAACACGGAGAAGGACAGGGUCCGGAGGCUGAUCAGGCUCAAGCCCCCGGGGAGCCAUGAUUUUUUCACUUGAUGGAUCUUGUGUAUGUAUCCCUUUGUUAGAGUCUGGAUGGUACUACUAGUUACAAACACUUGACACUUGUGUGAUUCUUCUGUCCAUGGAUGUACUUUGUACAACAAGUUGAUGGGAAUGUAAUUUGGUAUAUGGUUUCAAUUUCAUUUCAUGGCAUGUGAUUUGUAAUGACCCAGUAAAAUUCACAUCCAUAAAUUGUC
RNAcentral lists this long non-coding RNA (627 nucleotides) under Hordeum vulgare. Its description in RNAcentral is "long non-coding RNA (HVUL_LNC006835)". Lineage: Eukaryota; Viridiplantae; Streptophyta; Magnoliopsida; Poales; Poaceae. The record is from RNAcentral.